RNAcentral lists this ribosomal RNA (253 nucleotides) under uncultured bacterium. Its description in RNAcentral is "partial 16S ribosomal RNA". It matches the Rfam family "Bacterial small subunit ribosomal RNA", at positions 524 to 776 of the family's 1533-position model. The record is from RNAcentral.
UACGGAGGGUGCAAGCAUUAAUCGGAAUUAUUGGGCGUAAAGGGCGCGUAGGCGGGUAAGUAAGUCAGAUGUGAAAUUCCGGGACUCAAUUCCGGAGCUGCAUUUGAAACUGCUUGUCUUGAGGAUUGGCGGAGAGAACGGAAUUCCACGUGUAGCGGUGAAAUGCGUAGAUAUGUGGAAGAACACCGGUGGCGAAAGCGGUUCUCUAGCUAAUAACUGACGCUGAGGCGCGAAAGCGUGGGGAGCGAACAGG